RNAcentral lists this long non-coding RNA (4723 nucleotides) under Olea europaea (common olive). RNAcentral describes it as "long non-coding RNA (OEUR_LNC013823)". Lineage: Eukaryota; Viridiplantae; Streptophyta; Magnoliopsida; Lamiales; Oleaceae. The record is from RNAcentral.
UCAAAUUCGGCCGAAUCCAUUCGUACAGAAAUGGACUUUACAGAAUUAAUACAGAAAUCUCACAUGGGGCCCCAUGUGAAUAAAAUUGUGCCAAACCAAACCCCCCCCCCCUCCCGUGUAUCGAUGAACAUGAAGAUUGACCACUAGAUAGAAAUAAAAUAAAACCCACUUUCACAUGUGCGUUUAUAAUUAAUAAUCUUUAUAGGGGUUGACGAUAAUUCAAGGUUAUUUCUACUAGAAGAGAUUCAAGAUUCAAUCACUCUUGCCCUUUUGAGCACCAAUUUCUUGCAGGUAAUGUUCCGCAUCCAAGGCUGCCAUGCAUCCUGAAUAACAAGAGUAAAAACCCAAGACCAGUAAGAAUGGCAAUGCAUAAAAACUAGGUUGAGAAUAUUUCAAUUUAUUCAGUCUAGCUAGGAGGUGAUUCUAUUUCUUGUUACAGAUGUUGCUGCAAAUGAUACAUAUGGGGGUGUUUGAUAGGUAUUUUUACGUAAAAAUGUAUUUUAGAAUAGUAAAUUGAUGUGAAAUGUGUGGUUGAGAAAUAAGGAAAAGUUUUUGAUUUAAAUGUAAUAUUAUUUUAAUAAAGAAUGUGUGGUUGAAAAGAAGAGUGAGAAAAAUGCAUUUUAAAAAAAAUGACUACCAAACGGGACAUAAUAUCAGUACAAGCAAUUAAAAAGAGUGAUCCAGUAAGAAAGACUGCAUAAAAACCAGGUUAAGAAUAUUUAAAUUUAUUCAGUCUGCAAGGAGGUGAUUCUAUUUCUUGUCACAGAAGUUGCCAAGGGAUGCAUAAAAUCAACACAAGCAAUAAUAAAAGGUUUAAUAAUAUACACACAUAUUGGUCUAAUGGAAUAUCCUUCACUAUUUCACCAAAAUGGAAUCAAAUUAUCCUGUUUCGCUCCCUAGUUGAAAAGCGAUGACUUGAGCAAUGUAAAAGUCCGUGUGUGUGUGUGUGUAUUGGCCACAGAAUUUUCUGCCCAAAUUUGGCUUCUAAAUUUCAUUCAAUCUGAGAUGAACUCCGUGUUGGAUUUCAGGUUAAAUAAAUUUACAAACUAAGCCUCCAUUUGGCAACAUUUAUAAAUCAUUUAUAAAUGGUCAAACUUCAUUUUCAACCACACAUUUUCAAUGGACACACAAAUACUAUACACUUAUCUACCAGUCAUUUCUAUCCAUUUGAAAAUUAAACAAUUUAUAAAUUCUUCCCAAACAGAUGCUAAGAAAUAAGCAUAUAAUGGUGGAUUGACUAACUAGUAGCAGCGGAAUAUAGAUUGCAGAACAUGCUAACGUUCAAAGAAGGGUGUUCAGUCAAAUCGUUCGGAAAGUGAUGAAAUUAUCAUUAAAAUAUUAUCUUGAAGGUGAGGUUGUCUGCGUCCGAGAAACACAUAUAAACAUGCAAUUAGAAAGGGUUUCAGCUUUUGUGCCUUGACUGUGAACAUAGUCCUUGAUAGAAUAGGAAAAGAAAGAUGAGUCACUGUGCAAGCAUACCUUAAGCAAAUAAUAUGAAUUUCUUAUGCGUCAUCAAUUAACUACUCUUAGAAAAGAAAAUAUUUUCUUUCAACUACCAAAGUCACAACAAGGCACUUAUUGAAUCUUAGUAAAGUAAAAGUGAGGAAACAAAGGAAGACAGAUAUUCUCAACUAAUUCUUUACAACUCAAUAAAUACAGAUUACAAGUGAGGUACAGGGAAUGAAUAGCAAGGAAGACAACAGCCUGCCUAAUGAAACCAUGACAAUGACACUUUUAUUACAGAAGAGAACCAAUCACAAGAAUGAUGCAACUCUUAGUGGAAGGGCAAAAGAAUGAGAUAUGUGCAGCUAACUAAUUUAUCAGUUACCGUACAGAACCGCUCUGUUUUCUUGGCCUUUCAAUUUGUAAGUUCUCCUACAAUCUCUAGAAGCUCAUUUUUGCUAAAAAAAAAAUUAUAAAAAUAAAAUAAAAAUUGGCCCUACCCGAAUUAUUUUGCUUAAACACGAGCCCCUUUAAUUUUUGACUUGUCAAGUGAAGUGUUCUAAAGAUCAUGCUGUGAAUAAAUCAUUUUGAAGCAUCAGAACUUUAGGAGUCAAAGGAAUUUGUUUCUGCAAGCUGGUGCAGUUUGGCAUAGCUAAAAUAAGAGAUGAGAACAAGAACUAGAAAUUUUGUGAAGGAAGAUGAGAAAUCAUAACACAAUUCCACAGACAAUCAUGAGUCCAUAAGGGCACCCCAACUAGAAUGGGCAAUAAGAUAUAACCAAUAAGCUCAAUAUUAAUUAACUCGGAACAAAUUGAGACGCCAAACAACAAUCCUAAUAGCAAUAAAGUUCCAAGUUUAAGACACAGAAACAGCCCCCCAACUUAAAGUCCCUAUUUGGUGGGGAUUAAAAUUAGAUUUUUAGUAGAUUUUGAUAAAAGUCAAUGAAAUGCGUGGUUGAAAAGUUGUGGGAUCCAGAGAAUAUGUGGUUAGAAUUAAUUGUUGACUUUGACAUAAAUUAAAAUCUAGAUUUUAAUUUGUACCAAACAGGGUGAAAGUCAAAAAUUAUAUAAGUAAUUACCUUUGAUUACAAGUUCUUUGGACUGUAAAAGCAAUUAAAGAAGGCUAUUCAGUCAAUUGGUUACUAAAAUAUUAUCUUGAAGGCGAGGUUGUCUGCAUCUGAGAAACAAAUAAAAACAUGUAGCUAGAAAGGAUUUGAGCUUUUUUGCCUUGACUAUGAACAGUCCUUGAUAGAAUAGGGAAAUAAAGAUGAGUCACUGUACAAGCAUACCUGAAGCUCAACAAUUAACUACUCUUUGAAAGGCAAAUAUUGUCUUUCAACUACCAAAGUCACAGCAAGGCACAACAUAGAAUCUCUGUAAAGUAAAUGUGGGGAAACAAAGGAAGAAAAAUAUUCUCAGUAAUUCUUUACAACACAAUCAAUACAGUUACAAGAGAGGUACAGGGAAAAUUAAUAGCCAGGACGACAACAGCUUGCCGAGUGAGACCAUAACAAUCACACUUGUAUUACAGAAAAGAACCAAUCAUAAGAUGAUGCAACUCUUAGUGGAAGGGCAAAAGAAUGAGAUAUGUGCAGCUAAAUAAUUUAUCAGUUACUGUAUGUAAUCACAAUUAGCUAAACUAAUGACCCUAAAAGAGAAAGUUCUCAAUCUGUUUUCUUGGCCUUUCAAUUUGUAAGUUCUCUUGCAAUCUCUAGAAGCUCAUUUUUGUUAAAAUAAAAUAAAACAUCACACCUAGCCCAAUCAUUUUUGCUUAAACACAGAGCCCCCUUUAAUUUUUGACAUUUCAAGUGAAUAGUUUAAAGAUCAUGCUGUGAUUAAAUCAUUUUGAAGCAUCAGAACUUUAGGAAUCAAAGGAAUUCUUUUCUGCAAGCUGGUGCAGUUUCAUGUAGUUAAAAUAAGAGAUGAGAACAAGAACUAGAAAUUUUGUAUAGGAAGAUAAGAAUUAUGGAUAAAGAACCAUUUGUAGGAGGUUAUCGCAUAUCAUAACAUUAUUCCGUGGACAAUCAUAAGUCCAAAAGGGCACUCAAACUAGCUAGGGAAUAAGAUACAAGCAAUAAGCUCUAUAUUAACUAGCUAGGGAAUAAGAUACAAGCAAUAAGCUCUAUAUUAAUUAAAUCAGAACAAAUUGGGAAGCCAAACAACAUUCCUAAUAGCAAUAAAGUUCUAAGUUUAAGACACGGAAACAGCCCCACAACUGAAAGUCAGAAAUUAUAUCAGUACCUUUGAUUACAAGUUCAGUGAUUUAUGAAAAAUAAACUAUAUCAAGUGAAAUGGAAUGCAUGUGGUAAUAUAUUAACGGAAAUUUUGUUUUUCAAGUUUCAAUAUCGAGAACGAAUUGUAAGCAUAAGCUACAGGUUGAACCUCUAGUAGGAAAUCAUUGGACCAAAUAGUAUGAAUUAGGUACAGAUGUUAAAUAGGGUAAUCAGAACUUCACCCAAACCUUACUAGGAGUGCAAGUCCAGCAGCCGGCACUAUUUUUCAUUCAUGAGCAAAAUUUUUCCCAGCAGUUUCUCAUUAAUUCUUCUGCCAGCAGCAGCCACAGCCUUUUAUUUCUCUAUUGUAGCGACCGUUUUUUUGACCUCUCAAUGGAAAGCCUCUGUUUUUUACUUUUCUAAUGGUAGCCUUUGUGUUUCUCUCUCACACUGAACACGGCUUCAUGGAUGUGUAUAUGGAACCUGCUACACUUACACCCCUACCGGAUUACUCACAGUCGCAGGCCUGACGUAUUAUUAUUAUUUUUUUCAUGUGGGAUCGACCCUUACUGUGAGGGGUGGUUUAGGGUUUAAGGUUUAGGGUUUUUUUUUUGAAUGUCAUAAACAAUUCCCUUUCUUCAUAAGUAAUGUGUAUCGAUGAACAUGAAGAUUGACCACUAGAUAGAGAUAAAAUAAAACCCACUUUCACACGUGCGUUUAUAAUUAAUAAUCUUUAUAGGGGUUGACGAUAAUUCAAGGUUAUUUCUACUACAAGAGAUUCAAGAUUCAAUCACUCUUGCCCUUUUGAGCACCAAUUUCUUGAAGGUAAUGUUCUGCAUCUAAGGCUGCCAUGCAUCCUGGGCCAGCAGCAGUAACAGCCUGCCUAUACUUCUUAUCCUGAACAUCACCAGCAGCAAAUACACCCUUGACGCUGGUCUGAGUGGUGCCAGGCUUCGUGAUCACAUACCCAUCAGAAUCCAGCUCCAGCUGUCCGUUCAAAAACUUGGUUGCCGGCUCAUGUCCAAUCGCAAAAAACAAACCAGAAACGCUCAAAUCAGUAACCUCCCC